RNAcentral lists this transfer RNA (74 nucleotides) under Cordylochernes scorpioides. Its description in RNAcentral is "tRNA-Gly". The record is from RNAcentral. Lineage: Eukaryota; Metazoa; Arthropoda; Arachnida; Pseudoscorpiones; Chernetidae.
UGCAUCGGCCGGGAAUCGAACCGAACGCGCCGCCCGCGUGGCAGGCGAGCAUUCUACCACUGAACCACCGAUGC